UACGUAGGGGGCUAGCGUUGUCCGGAUUUAUUGGGCGUAAAGAGCGUGUAGGCGGCCAGGUAGGUCUGCUGUGAAAACUCGAGGCUCAACCUCGAGACGUCGGCGGAAACCAUCUGGCUAGAGUCCGGAAGAGGAGAGUGGAAUUCCUGGUGUAGCGGUGAAAUGCGCAGAUAUCAAGUGGAACACCAGUGGCGAAGGCGAGUCCCUGGACAACUCCUGACACUGAGGCACGAAAGCUAGGGGAGCAAACGGG
This 253-nucleotide ribosomal RNA is filed under the name uncultured bacterium. Its description in RNAcentral is "partial 16S ribosomal RNA". It matches the Rfam family "Bacterial small subunit ribosomal RNA", at positions 524 to 776 of the family's 1533-position model. The record is from RNAcentral.